GACGAACGCUGGCGGCGUGCCUAAUACAUGCAAGUAGAACGCACAGUUUAUACCGUAGCUUGCUACACCAUAAACUGUGAGUUGCGAACGGGUGAGUAACGCGUAGGUAACCUGCCUGGUAGCGGGGGAUAACUAUUGGAGACGAUAGCUAAUACCGCAUAAUAUUGAUUAUUGCAUGAUAAUUGAUUGAAAGAUGCUAUUGCAUCACUACCAGAUGGACCUGCGUUGUAUUAGCUAAUAGGUGAGGUAACGGCUCACCUAGGCGACGAUACAUAGCCGACCUGAGAGGGUGAUCGGCCACACUGGGACUGAGACACGGCCCAGACUCCUACGGGAGGCAGCAGUAGGGAAUCUUCGGCAAUGGACGAAAGUCUGACCGAGCAACGCCGCGUGAGUGAAGAAGGUUUUCGGAUCGUAAAGCUCUGUUGUAAGAGAAGAACGGGUGUGAGAGUGGAAAGUUCACACUGUGACGGUAUCUUACCAGAAAGGGACGGCUAACUACGUG
Molecule: ribosomal RNA, 505 nt
Filed under: uncultured bacterium
Lineage: Bacteria
Description: partial 16S ribosomal RNA
Rfam family: Bacterial small subunit ribosomal RNA
Source: RNAcentral